AUGACCAACGCUAAAGUAGCUGGAGUGUUAUGCCUCCUAGCCCUUGUGGCUAUCUCUUGUGCGUGCUAUGCACGAGCAUUAGAUCACUGCAUUAGGGAUAAAGAUAAGGUGAUGAAAUAUUGUUGGCAUAACAUCGUAAAGAACCUUGGUGACCAGUUCCCACCACAUUGGAGCCUAUGUUGCAAUAAAAUAAGGAUGCAAAAGACAUCCAUUGUGUUUGUGAUCGGUUCACCGCUCACGAACUGA
This 246-nucleotide ribosomal RNA is filed under the name Triticum aestivum (bread wheat). Its description in RNAcentral is "partial small subunit ribosomal RNA". The record is from RNAcentral. Lineage: Eukaryota; Viridiplantae; Streptophyta; Magnoliopsida; Poales; Poaceae.